This 310-nucleotide ribosomal RNA is filed under the name marine bacterium SIMO-IS118. RNAcentral describes it as "bacterial SSU rRNA". It matches the Rfam family "Bacterial small subunit ribosomal RNA", at positions 52 to 361 of the family's 1533-position model. The record is from RNAcentral. Lineage: Bacteria; Pseudomonadati; Bacteroidota.
CACAUGCAAGUCGAACGGUAACAUUGGUGCUUGCACCAGAUGACGAGUGGCGCACGGGUGCGUAACGCGUAUGCAAUCUGCCUUGUACUGGAGUAUAGCCCAGGGAAACUUGGAUUAAUCCUCCAUAGUAUAUAGAAAUGGCAUCAUUUUUAUAUUAAAGGUUACGGUACAAGAUGAGCAUGCGUCCCAUUAGCUAGUAGGUAUGGUAACGGCAUACCUAGGCAACGAUGGGUAGGGGUCCUGAGAGGGAGAUCCCCCACACUGGUACUGAGACACGGACCAGACUCCUACGGGAGGCAGCAGUGAGGAA